This 498-nucleotide ribosomal RNA is filed under the name uncultured bacterium. Its description in RNAcentral is "bacterial SSU rRNA". It matches the Rfam family "Bacterial small subunit ribosomal RNA", at positions 28 to 524 of the family's 1533-position model. The record is from RNAcentral.
GAUGAACGCUAGCGGCAGGCCUAACACAUGCAAGUCGAGGGGUAGAAUUAGCUUGCUAAUUUGAGACCGGCGCACGGGUGCGUAACGCGUAUGCAAUCUACCUUGUACAGGGGGAUAGCCCAGAGAAAUUUGGAUUAAUACCCCAUGGUAUAAUUAAUUUGCAUGAAUUGAUUAUUAAAGUUCCAACGGUACAAGAUGAGCAUGCGUCCCAUUAGCUAGUUGGUGUGGUAACGGCAUACCAAGGCGACGAUGGGUAGGGGUCCUGAGAGGGAGAUCCCCCACACUGGUACUGAGACACGGACCAGACUCCUACGGGAGGCAGCAGUGAGGAAUAUUGGUCAAUGGUCGGAAGACUGAACCAGCCAUGCCGCGUGCAGGAAGAAGCAUCUAUGGUGUGUAAAACUGCUUUUUGACGGGAAGAAACACUCCUUCGUGAAGGAGCUUGACGGUACCGUAAGAAUAAGGAUCGGCUAACUCCGUGCCAGCAGCCGCGGUAAU